UCUAAAAUGGCAGAAUAGUGCUAUGGGGUUAAGUUCCAUGAAUGAAAUUUAAUUUCUUUUAGAA
This 64-nucleotide transfer RNA is filed under the name Cloeon dipterum. RNAcentral describes it as "tRNA-Leu". The record is from RNAcentral. Lineage: Eukaryota; Metazoa; Arthropoda; Insecta; Ephemeroptera; Baetidae.